AAACGACUCUCGGCAACGGAUAUCUCGGCUCUCGCAUCGAUGAAGAACGUAGCGAAAUGCGAUACUUGGUGUGAAUUGCAGAAUCCCGUGAACCAUCGAGUCUUUGAACGCAAGUUGCGCCCAAAGCCUUCGGGCCGAGGGCACGUCUGCCUGGGUGUCACGC
Molecule: ribosomal RNA, 163 nt
Filed under: Kirganelia reticulata
Lineage: Eukaryota; Viridiplantae; Streptophyta; Magnoliopsida; Malpighiales; Phyllanthaceae
Description: Phyllanthus reticulatus 5.8S ribosomal RNA
Rfam family: 5.8S ribosomal RNA
About the family: 5.8S ribosomal RNA (5.8S rRNA) is a component of the large subunit of the eukaryotic ribosome. It is transcribed by RNA polymerase I as part of the 45S precursor that also contains 18S and 28S rRNA.
Source: RNAcentral